Molecule: transfer RNA, 76 nt
Filed under: Sulfurihydrogenibium sp.
Lineage: Bacteria; Pseudomonadati; Aquificota; Aquificia; Aquificales; Hydrogenothermaceae
Description: tRNA-Ala
Rfam family: tRNA
About the family: Transfer RNA (tRNA) molecules are approximately 80 nucleotides in length. Their secondary structure includes four short double-helical elements and three loops (D, anti-codon, and T loops).
Source: RNAcentral
GGGGUUAUGGUAUAAAUGGCUAACACAGUACCCUUGCAAGGUACAGUUCUGAGUUCGAUGCUCAGUGGCUCCACCA